Molecule: ribosomal RNA, 440 nt
Filed under: uncultured bacterium
Lineage: Bacteria
Description: partial 16S ribosomal RNA
Rfam family: Bacterial small subunit ribosomal RNA
Source: RNAcentral
CCUACGGUGGGCUGCAGUGGGGAAUAUUGGACAAUGGGCGAAAGCCUGAUCCAGCAAUGCCGCGUGAGUGAUGAAGGCCUUAGGGUUGUAAAGCUCUUUUACCCGGGAAGAUAAUGACGGUACCGGGAGAAUAAGCCCCGGCUAACUCCGUGCCAGCAGCCGCGGUAAUACGGAGGGGGCUAGCGUUGUUCGGAAUUACUGGGCGUAAAGCGUACGUAGGCGGCUUGGUAAGUUAGAGGUGAAAGCCUGGGGCUCAACCCCAGAAUUGCCUUUAAGACUGCCUCGCUUGAACGUCGGAGAGGUGAGUGGAAUUCCGAGUGUAGAGGUGAAAUUCGUAGAUAUUCGGAAGAACACCAGUGGCGAAGGCGGCUCACUGGACGACUGUUGACGCUGAGGUACGAAAGCGUGGGGAGCAAACAGGAUUAGAUACCCUUGUAGUC